AUGUGUAUGUUGGGGUUGGGUUAGUGAUGGGAAGUCUGCAGUUUUAUUAACCAGGUGAGACCCAGACUAUGAUACAGGUGGGCAUGUGCAGCCGUCAGAGACCCCUGAGUGAGAAUGGAAAGUGGGUGGCCUAAAUGACAUUGUACAAAAAAGAUUAACCUUGAUUUGCUCUCUUCCACUUCUUGCCUUCCAUGUGGACUAAUAAAUUAGAGAGACCAAAGAAAUAGUUUCAUCUAAGAAAUAUGAAAGAAAAUUGUGACUUCUGCUACCCAUCAUAUAACUUCAGUCCUCUUUUCAUUUUCAAAUGGUUUAGGGAAAACUUCAGAUGUGGGUGGAUGUUUUCCCCAAGAGUUUGGGGCCACCAGGCCCUCCUUUCAACAUCACACCCCGGAAAGCCAAGAAAUACUACCUGCGUGUAAUCAUCUGGAACACCAAGGACGUUAUCUUGGACGAGAAAA
This 458-nucleotide small RNA is filed under the name Pan troglodytes (chimpanzee). RNAcentral's name for it is "retained intron". The record is from RNAcentral. Lineage: Eukaryota; Metazoa; Chordata; Mammalia; Primates; Hominidae.